This 30-nucleotide non-coding RNA is filed under the name Rattus norvegicus (Norway rat). Lineage: Eukaryota; Metazoa; Chordata; Mammalia; Rodentia; Muridae. The record is from RNAcentral.
UGAAAUGCACAGUGUUGCAAUAUGUAGACA